GAGGAUCAGAGUCUGGCCAUGCCCCUCCGCCUCUACUUCCUCCCCCAUGGAGCCCCAUUUCAGCCUUGGUUCUUGUUGUGCAGCAGCGUGAAGACGUUCACCAUGAGCAGGAGCAGCGGCGCAGUCUACUUCGGGUGCGGGAGUGGUAGAGCAACGGCUGCGCAGGGCUGCACGCAUGGCGGCGCGUGGCCAAGGCGGGGGUGCUGUGGCAGACGUGAGGGCAGGCGGCGCGGGCUGCUUCCGCUGCACGGCCGGCCGCGGAGCACGGAGCGUCGACAGCGGCAUGGGCGGCCUCCACGGCAAGGCUGCGGCGUAGGGCCGCGGCUGCACACGGUGGGGUGGCCCCGAGCGCGGCAGUAGGAGCGGCGGCCACGAGCGGCUCGGAGCGCGGUAGCAGGAGCGGCGACGGCGACGAGGCGAAGCUCCGGGGCCGAGCGUCGUCAGCAGGAUGCCUGCUUAUUUUUUUUGUUUGCCAAAAAUAUUUUGGUACAGGUUGGAAAGACCAACCAGUACCAAUGAAUGUCUAAGGCACCGGGUGAAAAACCCGGUGCCCUAGACUGAGGCCAAUGGUCUCGGUUUGGAGGUACCGGUUGUAAAACCGGUGUCUAAGCACCUCUUCAACCGGUGCCUAAGGCGUCAUUUCUAGUAGUGAACCGAGGGCUUUAUGCAGUUGGAUGGUCUGAAUACAGUCAAAUCGUUCAACUCGA
Long non-coding RNA from Panicum virgatum (switchgrass), 707 nucleotides. RefSeq lists it as uncharacterized. Lineage: Eukaryota; Viridiplantae; Streptophyta; Magnoliopsida; Poales; Poaceae. The transcript is spliced from 2 exons. The record is from RefSeq and is a predicted model, not a curated record.